UACGGAGGGGGCUAGCGUUGUUCGGAAUUACUGGGCGUAAAGCGCGCGUAGGCGGCUUUGUAAGUUAGAGGUGAAAGCCCGGAGCUUAACUCCGGAACUGCCUUUAAGACUGCAUCGCUAGAAUUGUGGAGAGGUGAGUGGAAUUCCGAGUGUAGAGGUGAAAUUCGUAGAUAUUCGGAAGAACACCAGUGGCGAAGGCGACUCACUGGACACAUAUUGACGCUGAGGCUCGAAAGCAUGGGGAGCAAACAGG
RNAcentral lists this ribosomal RNA (253 nucleotides) under uncultured bacterium. Its description in RNAcentral is "partial 16S ribosomal RNA". It matches the Rfam family "Bacterial small subunit ribosomal RNA", at positions 524 to 776 of the family's 1533-position model. The record is from RNAcentral.